UGGGGAAUUUUGGACAAUGGGCGCAAGCCUGAUCCAGCCAUGCCGCGUGCAGGAUGAAGGCCUUCGGGUUGUAAACUGCUUUUUGUACGGAACGAAAAGACUCUGGUUAAUACCUGGGGUCCAUGACGGUACCGUAAGAAUAAGCACCGGCUAACUACGUGCCAGCAGCCGCGGUAAUACGUAGGGUGCGAGCGUUAAUCGGAAUUACUGGGCGUAAAGCGUGCGCAGGCGGUUAUAUAAGACAGAUGUGAAAUCCCCGGGCUCAACCUGGGAACUGCAUUUGUGACUGUAUAGCUAGAGUACGGCAGAGGGGGAUGGAAUUCCGCGUGUAGCAGUGAAAUGCGUAGAUAUGCGGAGGAACACCGAUGGCGAAGGCAAUCCCCUGGGCCUGUACUGACGCUCAUGCACGAAAGCGUGGGUAGCGAACAGGAUUAGAUACCCCCGUAGUCCCUGAGCGGGCUGGCAAGGCGCAU
RNAcentral lists this ribosomal RNA (473 nucleotides) under uncultured bacterium. Its description in RNAcentral is "bacterial SSU rRNA". It matches the Rfam family "Bacterial small subunit ribosomal RNA", at positions 355 to 825 of the family's 1533-position model. The record is from RNAcentral.